AGUGAACGCUGGCGGUAGGCCUAACACAUGCAAGUCGAACGGCAGCACAGUAAGAGCUUGCUCUUACGGGUGGCGAGUGGCGGACGGGUGAGGAAUACAUCGGAAUCUACUUUUUCGUGGGGGAUAACGUAGGGAAACUUACGCUAAUACCGCGUACGACCCACGGGUGAAAGCAGUGGAUCUUCGGACCUUGCGCGAUUGAAUGAGCCGAUGUCGGAUUAGCUAGUUGGCGGGGUAAAGGCCCACCAAGGCGACGAUCCGUAGCUGGUCUGAGAGGAUGAUCAGCCACACUGGAACUGAGACACGGUCCAGACUCCUACGGGAGGCAGCAGUGGGGAAUAUUGGACAAUGGGCGCAAGCCUGAUCCAGCCAUACCGCGUGGGUGAAGAAGGCCUUCGGGUUGUAAAGCCCUUUUGUUGGGAAAGAAAAGCAGCAGGUUAAUACCCCGCUGUUCUGACGGUACCCAAAGAAUAAGCACCGGCUAACUUCGUG
This 492-nucleotide ribosomal RNA is filed under the name uncultured bacterium. RNAcentral describes it as "partial 16S ribosomal RNA". It matches the Rfam family "Bacterial small subunit ribosomal RNA", at positions 29 to 507 of the family's 1533-position model. The record is from RNAcentral.